GGCGAACGGGUGCGUAAUACGUAGGAAUCUACCCUGAAGUGGGGGAUAACCCGGGGAAACUCGGGAUAAUACCGCAUGACCUCUAGCUGCGAGAGUAGUUAGAGUAAAGGUGGUUAGCAAUAGCUAUCGCUUUUGGAUGAGCCUACGUCGGAUUAGCUAGUUGGUAGGGUAAUGGCCUACCAAGGCGACGAUCCGUAGCUGGUUUGAGAGAACGACCAGCCACACUGGAACUGAGACACGGUCCUGACUCCUACGGGAGGCAGCAGUGGGGAAUUUUGGACAAUGGGCGAAAGCCUGAUCCAGCGAUGCCGCGUGUGCGAUGAAGGCCUGCGGGUUGUAAAGCACUUUUGUUGGGGAAGAAAUGCUCGGGGCUAAUACCUUCGAGAGCUGACAUUACCCAAAGAAUAAGCACCGGCUAACUCUGUGCCAGCAGCCGCGGUAAUACAGAGGGUGCAAGCGUUAAUCGGAGUUACUGGGCGUAAAGGGCGCGUAGGUGGAUAUUUAAGUCGGUUGUGAAAUCCCUGGGCUUAACCUAGGAAUUGCAUUCGAUACUGAAUAUCUAGAGUAUGGUAGAGGAAAGUGGAAUUCU
RNAcentral lists this ribosomal RNA (589 nucleotides) under uncultured Pseudomonadota bacterium. Its description in RNAcentral is "bacterial SSU rRNA". It matches the Rfam family "Bacterial small subunit ribosomal RNA", at positions 97 to 670 of the family's 1533-position model. The record is from RNAcentral. Lineage: Bacteria; Pseudomonadati; Pseudomonadota.